GAGAACCUUAAGUUAUAUAAACUAAAAGCCUUCAAAGCUCUAAAAAAAGAUCGCCCUUUAGUUCUCG
RNAcentral lists this transfer RNA (67 nucleotides) under Tropidophis haetianus (Haitian dwarf boa). RNAcentral's name for it is "tRNA-Trp". The record is from RNAcentral. Lineage: Eukaryota; Metazoa; Chordata; Lepidosauria; Squamata; Tropidophiidae.